GGAUGAGCCCGCGGCCUAUCAGCUUGUUGGUGGGGUAAUGGCCUACCAAGGCGGCGACGGGUAGCCGGCCUGAGAGGGUGUACGGCCACAUUGGGACUGAGAUACGGCCCAGACUCCUACGGGAGGCAGCAGUGGGGAAUAUUGCACAAUGGGCGCAAGCCUGAUGCAGCGACGCCGCGUGGGGGAUGAAGGCCUUCGGGUUGUAAACUCCUUUCGCUAGGGACGAAGCUUUGUUGUGACGGUACCUAGAUAAGAAGCACCGGCUAACUACGUGCCAGCAGCCGCGGUAAUACGUAGGGUGCGAGCGUUGUCCGGAAUUACUGGGCGUAAAGGGCUCGUAGGUGGUUUGUCGCGUCGUCUGUGAAAUUCUGGGGCUUAACUCCGGGCGUGCAGGCGAUACGGGCAUAACUUGAGUGCUGUAGGGGUAACUGGAGUUCCUGGUGUAGCGAUGAAAUGCGC
This 459-nucleotide ribosomal RNA is filed under the name uncultured bacterium. RNAcentral's name for it is "bacterial SSU rRNA". It matches the Rfam family "Bacterial small subunit ribosomal RNA", at positions 223 to 691 of the family's 1533-position model. The record is from RNAcentral.